AUCCCUAUAGUGCAAAGGAUAGCGCUUUGGACUUCUAUUCCAAAGGUUGUGGGUUCCAAUCCCACCUGGGAUG
This 73-nucleotide transfer RNA is filed under the name Trichonephila inaurata madagascariensis. It matches the Rfam family "tRNA". From Rfam's summary of the family: Transfer RNA (tRNA) molecules are approximately 80 nucleotides in length. Their secondary structure includes four short double-helical elements and three loops (D, anti-codon, and T loops). Further hydrogen bonds mediate the characteristic L-shaped molecular structure. tRNAs have two regions of fundamental functional importance: the anti-codon, which is responsible for specific mRNA codon recognition, and the 3' end, to which the tRNAs corresponding amino acid is attached (by aminoacyl-tRNA synthetases). tRNAs cope with the degeneracy of the genetic code in two manners: having more than one tRNA (with a specific anti-codon) for a particular amino acid; and 'wobble' base-pairing, i.e. permitting non-standard base-pairing at the 3rd anti-codon position. The record is from Rfam by way of RNAcentral. Lineage: Eukaryota; Metazoa; Arthropoda; Arachnida; Araneae; Nephilidae.